GAUGAACGCUGGCGGCGUGCCUAAUACAUGCAAGUCGAGCGAACGGACGAGAAGCUUGCUUCUCUGAUGUUAGCGGCGGACGGGUGAGUAACACGUGGAUAACCUACCUAUAAGACUGGGAUAACUUCGGGAAACCGUAGCUAAUACCGGAUAAUAUUUUGAACCGCAUGGUUCAAAAGUGAAAGACGGUCUUGCUGUCACUUAUAGAUGGAUCCGCGCUGCAUUAGCUAGUUGGUAAGGUAACGGCUUACCAAGGCAACGAUGCAUAGCCGACCUGAGAGGGUGAUCGGCCACACUGGAACUGAGACACGGUCCAGACUCCUACGGGAGGCAGCAGUAGGGACUCUUCCGCAAUGGGCGAAAGCCUGACGGAGCAACUCCGCGUGAGUGAUGAGGGUCUUCGGAUCGUAAAACUCUGUUAUUAGGGAAGAACAUAUGUGUAAGUAACUGUGCACAUCUUGACGGUACCUAAUCAGAAAGCCACGGCUAACUACGUG
RNAcentral lists this ribosomal RNA (497 nucleotides) under uncultured bacterium. RNAcentral's name for it is "partial 16S ribosomal RNA". It matches the Rfam family "Bacterial small subunit ribosomal RNA", at positions 28 to 507 of the family's 1533-position model. The record is from RNAcentral.